UAUGACGAUGGACAUUGCAAAGAGUGGCGAACGGGUGAGUAACACGUGGGAAACCUACCUCUUAGCAGGGGAUAACAUUUGGAAACAGAUGCUAAUACCGCAUAAAACCUAGCACCGCAUGGUGCAAGGUUGAAAGAUGGUUUCGGCUAUCACUUUAGGAUGGACCCGCGGUGCAUUAGUUAGUUGGUGGGGUAAAGGCUUACCAAGACAAUGAUGCAUAGCCGAGUUGAGAGACUGAUCGGCCACAUUGGGACUGAGACACGGCCCAAACUCC
This 274-nucleotide ribosomal RNA is filed under the name uncultured Lactobacillales bacterium. RNAcentral describes it as "partial 16S ribosomal RNA". It matches the Rfam family "Bacterial small subunit ribosomal RNA", at positions 73 to 339 of the family's 1533-position model. Lineage: Bacteria; Bacillati; Bacillota; Bacilli; Lactobacillales. The record is from RNAcentral.